This is a non-coding RNA of Caenorhabditis elegans, 21 nucleotides long. The record is from Ensembl. NCBI's taxonomy places the organism in Eukaryota, Metazoa, Nematoda, Chromadorea, Rhabditida, Rhabditidae.
UACCAAUGUAAGGUUCACUCC